CAUUUAAUUCAUAACUUAUCAUAGUUCGUAAUUUCAUAUUGUGACAAUUCAAAUUUUAACCAUACUUUUAUCUUACGCACAUGCUCCGAUGAUAGAUAAUUGCUCAAAUAAAUAGGGAUACAUGGGCAACUCACCUCUGCACGAACGGCCAUGUUGAAUACUAUCGAGCUAGAGCUGUCAAAUGUCAAAUGUGUAUGCGUGCAUGGGUCACUGUGACCACUGUCACUGUGACCAAGUUUCAAUGAUACAGAACGUGAUCCGCUAUUCGAUACAUAAUGCAAAUGGAGCUCUGAAGUUUACGACUGCGUACGGUGACACAGAGUUGAAAACGAAAGAGCCUUUGGGUGGCUGAUAAUAAUCAGCUUGCGAAAUUGUUCAUACAUUAUUAAUGCUAGGGAUCACAAAUUAGGCUCAAAGAGAUCUUGGCAUGGUUGCGUAAAGGGGCUGCUAGGCCAGCAUGCCGAAGGUUAUCUUGUACAAAUAACGAAGGAGAAAGGACCAUUAAUCAAUUGACAGAUCGAAUGAAUAAUCUUCACUUUGCAGCAUCAAUAUUUGUUUCACUGAAUUGAGUUUCAAAUCAAUGUUCAACUAUUAUACUCAUCUUUGUUGUGUCCACCAUAGUAAUGACCUACAUUAAUUGCAUACAAAUUGCUUUGCCAUUUUCGAAUGAAGUUAUACUGCUUUAGCUAUUAACAACAAUGAUACCAGUUUUUAAAUUUAUACUUCCUCCAAUGCAUCUGUAAUGUGGAUGUCAAAAUGCCGAACUGUUAUUGAAUUAAAAUAAGUAGUAAGGCAGAAUUACAGAAUUUAACAUAUACACCUGGUGAAGCUAUGAACGCGAGCAGUAGCAUAGAAGACCAAUUUUUAGUUCGCAAUAGACUUUGACCCCCGUUUCGAGUAUUACUUGGGUUUGGCAAAAAUAAAAUAAAUAUUGUCAAGACUAUUUCUCAUAGCUUAGUUUUGGCCAAGUACUGUGAUAUGUAAUAGUUGUAAUAAAAUAAAUCUUAAUCUUCAAGAAAUAAGUUUAAAAAGUGUAUUUUGUUUCUUGUUAUUAGAACAAGAUAUUGCAUAGAUGUGUUGAUAUGAGAGUUUAACUGAGAUAUAGGAAAUUAUCAGAUAAUCAAACCGUUCUACUUAAGUCUUGGAAUUAAUAAGAUUGUAAUAAUCGUCGCGUCACAAAGUUCAGCAGUUAUAAGUUGACCAUGAUUUGUAGGCAAUCUAGUGAUAACUGCAAAAUCCAAAAUUGAAUAUCCAACAAUGUUCAUCACGUACAAAACUAAUUACUCUGCCUAAUUUCUAG
Molecule: unclassified non-coding RNA, 1300 nt
Filed under: Athalia rosae (coleseed sawfly)
Lineage: Eukaryota; Metazoa; Arthropoda; Insecta; Hymenoptera; Athaliidae
Description: misc RNA ENSAEAG00005009171.1
Source: RNAcentral